AUCUAAAACAUGUAUGCCAGCCCAUCAUUCAAUCGAAGUUAAAAGCUAUCUUGUUUCAUCAAUUAAUGAGAGAUUAAAUUUUCGUGACAUGUAAUAAUAUAAAUUGUUUAACACUAAUAUGGUCUUUAAGAUAAUCACAUCCCUGUUUUAUAACAGCUCAGUGAAAUCGAGAGAUAUGUUUAAUAAUAAUAAUAAAUUGAAGGAAAUUCCAAUGAAGCGAUUAAUGGUAAAAUUUAUUCUCAUUGAAAUCACAAAAUUUUAUUUCUUGAAAGCAGAAAAAUAUGUGAAUGAUCUGCAUGAUAUUUCUUUACAUCAAGUAUAGGAUUGUCAGUAUAAAAAAAAACUACAUACCGAAUGAAGUAAUCUGUGCUCUUCCUGCGGUAAACUACUUUCAACUGACGUUACACCAACAGUGUUCGGAUCUGUUAUUGUUCUUGGACAAUAAAGGACGAUACUAAGUCAUUUCAAAACUAACGGUUUGACAAACGUGUUAUUAAUCUGUGGUGGGGAGCUGGUGCAAAAAUAAACCUUAAUACAUUACA
Molecule: long non-coding RNA, 542 nt
Organism: Solenopsis invicta (red fire ant)
Lineage: Eukaryota; Metazoa; Arthropoda; Insecta; Hymenoptera; Formicidae
Exons: 2
Source: RefSeq, a predicted model, not a curated record